AUGCAAGUCGACGGUAGCACAGAGAGCUUGCUCUCGGGUGACGAGUGGCGGACGGGUGAGUAAUGUCUGGGAAACUGCCCGAUGGAGGGGGAUAACUACUGGAAACGGUAGCUAAUACCGCAUAAUGUCGCAAGACCAAAGAGGGGGACCUUCGGGCCUCUUGCCAUCGGAUGUGCCCAGAUGGGAUUAGCUGGUAGGUGGGGUAACGGCUCACCUAGGCGACGAUCCCUAGCUGGUCUGAGAGGAUGACCAGCCACACUGGAACUGAGACACGGUCCAGACUCCUACGGGAGGCAGCAGUGGGGAAUAUUGCACAAUGGGCGCAAGCCUGAUGCAGCCAUGCCGCGUGUAUGAAGAAGGCCUUCGGGUUGUAAAGUACUUUCAGCGAGGAGGAAGGUGUUGUGGUUAAUAACCGCAGCAAUUGACGUUACUCGCAGAAGAAGCACCGGCUAACUCCGUGCCAGCAGCCGCGGUAAUACGGAGGGUGCAAGCGUUAAUCGGAAUUACUGGGCGUAAAGCGCACGCAGGCGGUCUGUCAAGUCGGAUGUGAAAUCCCCGGGCUCAACCUGGGAACUGCAUCCGAAACUGGCAG
RNAcentral lists this ribosomal RNA (592 nucleotides) under Citrobacter sp. RNAcentral's name for it is "bacterial SSU rRNA". It matches the Rfam family "Bacterial small subunit ribosomal RNA", at positions 55 to 639 of the family's 1533-position model. Lineage: Bacteria; Pseudomonadati; Pseudomonadota; Gammaproteobacteria; Enterobacterales; Enterobacteriaceae. The record is from RNAcentral.